Molecule: ribosomal RNA, 486 nt
Filed under: Dietzia sp. EBKC115
Lineage: Bacteria; Bacillati; Actinomycetota; Actinomycetes; Mycobacteriales; Dietziaceae
Description: bacterial SSU rRNA
Rfam family: Bacterial small subunit ribosomal RNA
Source: RNAcentral
AGCCUGAUGCAGCGACGCCGCGUGGGGGAUGACGGUCUUCGGAUUGUAAACUCCUUUCAGUAGGGACGAAGCGAAAGUGACGGUACCUGCAGAAGAAGCACCGGCCAACUACGUGCCAGCAGCCGCGGUAAUACGUAGGGUGCAAGCGUUGUCCGGAAUUACUGGGCGUAAAGAGCUCGUAGGCGGUUUGUCACGUCGUCUGUGAAAUCCUCCAGCUCAACUGGGGGCGUGCAGGCGAUACGGGCAGACUUGAGUACUACAGGGGAGACUGGAAUUCCUGGUGUAGCGGUGAAAUGCGCAGAUAUCAGGAGGAACACCGGUGGCGAAGGCGGGUCUCUGGGUAGUAACUGACGCUGAGGAGCGAAAGCAUGGGGAGCAAACAGGAUUAGAUACCCUGGUAGUCCAUGCCGUAAACGGUGGGCGCUAGGUGUGGGGUCCUUCCACGGAUUCCGUGCCGUAGCUAACGCAUUAAGCGCCCCGCCUGGG